GACGUAGGGCGCGAGCGUUGUCCGGAUUUAUUGGGCGUAAAGAGCUCGUAGGCGGUUUGUCGCGUCUGCCGUGAAAGUCCGGGGCUCAACUCCGGAUCUGCGGUGGGUACGGGCAGACUAGAGUGAUGUAGGGGAGACUGGAAUUCCUGGUGUAGCGGUGAAAUGCGCAGAUAUCAGGAGGAACACCGAUGGCGAAGGCAGGUCUCUGAGCAUUAACUGACGCUGAGGAGCGAAAGCAUGGGGAGCGAACAGG
This 253-nucleotide ribosomal RNA is filed under the name uncultured bacterium. RNAcentral's name for it is "partial 16S ribosomal RNA". It matches the Rfam family "Bacterial small subunit ribosomal RNA", at positions 524 to 776 of the family's 1533-position model. The record is from RNAcentral.